UACGUAGGGCGCAAGCGUUGUCCGGAAUUAUUGGGCGUAAAGGGCUCGUAGGCGGUCUGUUGCGUCAGGAGUGAAAACUCGGGGCUUAACCCCGAGCCUGCUUCUGAUACGGGCAGACUAGAGGUAUGCAGGGGAGAACGGAAUUCCUGGUGUAGCGGUGAAAUGCGCAGAUAUCAGGAGGAACACCGGUGGCGAAGGCGGUUCUCUGGGCCAUUACUGACGCUGAGGAGCGAAAGCGUGGGGAGCGAACAGG
RNAcentral lists this ribosomal RNA (253 nucleotides) under uncultured bacterium. Its description in RNAcentral is "partial 16S ribosomal RNA". It matches the Rfam family "Bacterial small subunit ribosomal RNA", at positions 524 to 776 of the family's 1533-position model. The record is from RNAcentral.